Leptidea sinapis is the source of this 258-nucleotide long non-coding RNA. RefSeq lists it as uncharacterized. The record is from RefSeq and is a predicted model, not a curated record. NCBI's taxonomy places the organism in Eukaryota, Metazoa, Arthropoda, Insecta, Lepidoptera, Pieridae. The transcript is spliced from 6 exons.
CAAAAACCAAGUAUUACUGCAGUCAGUACAGCAUUACGAACUUUAGAAAAAAGUCUUGACCCCAAAGCUUUGGAUCCAGCUGAUUGGCUGGCCUUUGAAGUGGCAAAAGGUGUCACUCAAAGUGCGUCGGAAUCGUGUCGAGUUGGUGGAUGUCCUGCGAGGUGUAGCAGGCUUGGAUGUGAAUCGAUGUGCCGUGGUGACACUUGUACAUCCGGGUGCAUAGGAGGAGCUUGUAGUACAUUUUGCAAUGGACCCGGC